UACGUAGGGCGCAAGCGUUGUCCGGAAUUAUUGGGCGUAAAGAGCUCGUAGGCGGUUUGUCGCGUCUGCUGUGAAAACCUGAGGCUCAACCUCGGGCUUGCAGUGGGUACGGGCAGACUAGAGUGCGGUAGGGGUGACUGGAAUUCCUGGUGUAGCGGUGAAAUGCGCAGAUAUCAGGAGGAACACCGGUGGCGAGGCGGGUCUCUGGGCAACAACCGACGCUGAGGAGCGAAAGCGUGGGGAGCGAACAGG
RNAcentral lists this ribosomal RNA (252 nucleotides) under uncultured bacterium. Its description in RNAcentral is "partial 16S ribosomal RNA". It matches the Rfam family "Bacterial small subunit ribosomal RNA", at positions 524 to 776 of the family's 1533-position model. The record is from RNAcentral.